AGUUUGAUCCUGGCUCAGGAUGAACGCUGGCGGCGUGCUUAACACAUGCAAGUCGAACGGGGAUGCUUAUGGAAGGAGUGCUUGCACUUUGGAAAUGAGUAUCUUAGUGGCGGACGGGUGAGUAACGCGUGGGUAACCUGCCCCAUACCGGGGGAUACCACCUGGAAACAGGUGCUAAUACCGCAUAAGCGCACGGGAGCGCAUGCUCCUGUGUGAAAAACUCCGGUGGUAUGGGAUGGACCCGCGUCUGAUUAGCCAGUUGGCAGGGUAACGGCCUACCAAAGCGACGAUCAGUAGCCGGCCUGAGAGGGUGGACGGCCACAUUGGGACUGAGACACGGCCCAAACUCCUACGGGAGGCAGCAGUGGGGAAUAUUGCACAAUGGGGGAAGCCCUGAUGCAGCGACGCCGCGUGAGUGAAGAAGUAUUUCGGUAUGUAAAGCUCUAUCAGCAGGAACGAGACAAGACGGUACCUGACUAAGAAGCCCCGGCUAACUACGUG
RNAcentral lists this ribosomal RNA (501 nucleotides) under uncultured Lachnospiraceae bacterium. Its description in RNAcentral is "bacterial SSU rRNA". It matches the Rfam family "Bacterial small subunit ribosomal RNA", at positions 10 to 507 of the family's 1533-position model. The record is from RNAcentral. Lineage: Bacteria; Bacillati; Bacillota; Clostridia; Lachnospirales; Lachnospiraceae.